This 911-nucleotide unclassified non-coding RNA is filed under the name Hevea brasiliensis (rubber tree). Lineage: Eukaryota; Viridiplantae; Streptophyta; Magnoliopsida; Malpighiales; Euphorbiaceae. The record is from RNAcentral.
GCCAACGAGUUCAUUCGUAUUUUGUACAGACAACAGAGUCCUACAGAAAAGAAAUGGUAUACUUGACAGCAACACAAAUUUUCAAUCAAUGCAGAAUGGACUUUGAAUCCAUCAAGCACUAAAAAAGAAAGCAGCAAAUACAAAAGAAAAUGACGAGACCAGACCAUACACGAUCUUGAGAAUACAAGGAAGGAAUGCCAACAACUCAUGUUUGUUUGUUACUACUUCAUCAACUUCAGUAUUGUUAACAACCACCACCAGUCUUUAUCUUGCAUAUAGCCAUCCCCCUGUUGGAACUGAAUAUCAUAGUAUAACGCAGAGGCACUUAUUCUGCUUCAUGUCAUCUGACGCUUUUUUCUCUUUCUCCUGAGCUGGUGGUUGAACAACCACAUGCAUGGUCGUGACUCCUCCUGGAAUAUCACAUAGCGGGCUUCUGCAUUCAGCCACUGUUCUGUUGUUUUCCAAUAUUCUUCCAGCGCUGAUUAACUUAACAUCUUUUACUGUCCGCGGACCAUUAUCCUUCUCUCUGGGCCACUGAGCAAGGAUGUUCUCCUUUAAGGUUGCUACGCUUGUAGCCGCAGAAAAACUCUUGGGCCCAAUAUCUGUUCCAUCAAUCAAUCUAAACUUAAUCUCCAGUUGAUCUUGAGCUGCAGACAUCCUUGUUCUAACUUACAAAACAAACCCAACACAAGGAUCUUUUACUAGGAUCUUCCUGUAACCUGUUCAGCCUUAAUUAACACAAUCACUGAAGCUCCCAAGACCAAAGAAUUUAGUCUUUGGUUCUUGACACUUUAUGGAUCUCAUCAAAUUCCCAAAUCCCAGCCUUAAAUUGUUAAGAGAAACUGAUCUGGAAACUGUCCACUUUUUACCGAACAAAGUAAUUUCAUAUGAUAUUCCUCAAGACAGAUAGA